Molecule: transfer RNA, 99 nt
Organism: Nadsonia fulvescens var. elongata DSM 6958
Lineage: Eukaryota; Fungi; Ascomycota; Dipodascomycetes; Dipodascales
Rfam family: tRNA
About the family: Transfer RNA (tRNA) molecules are approximately 80 nucleotides in length. Their secondary structure includes four short double-helical elements and three loops (D, anti-codon, and T loops).
Source: Rfam
GCCUAGCUAGCUCAAUCGGUAGAGCGUGUGACUCUUAAAAUCCCCACAUUAGGAAUUAAAGUCAUCACAAGGUUGGGGGUUCGACCCCCCCGUUGGGCU